This 494-nucleotide ribosomal RNA is filed under the name uncultured bacterium. Its description in RNAcentral is "partial 16S ribosomal RNA". It matches the Rfam family "Bacterial small subunit ribosomal RNA", at positions 30 to 507 of the family's 1533-position model. The record is from RNAcentral.
AUUGAACGCUGGCGGCAUGCUUUACACAUGCAAGUCGAACGGCAGCGGGGAGCUUCUUGCUUCUCUGCCGGCGAGUGGCGUACGUGUGAGCAAUACAUCUGCACGUUCCUAGAAGAUGGCGUCAACCACCCGAAAGGGUUGCUAAUUCCGCAUAAAUUCUGAGGAAGAAAGCUGUUGACCUAUGAAUAUUCCUAGCGCUUUUUGAUCGGCCUAUGUCGUUUUAGCUAGUUGGUCAGGUAAAGGCUCACCAAGGCGAAGAUCUGUAGCGGGUCUGAGAGGAUGAUCAGCCACACUGGAACUGAGACACGGCCCAGACUCCUACGGGAGGAAGCAGUGGGGAAUAUUGGACAAUGGGGGAAAGCCUGAUCCAGCCAUGCCGCGUGUAUGAAGAAGGCCUUAGGGUUGUAAAGUACUUUUGUUAGGGAAGAAAAGUAAGAUGUGAAUAAUGGCUGAUAAUGACGGUACCAAAAGAAUAAGCACCGGCUAACUACGUG